GAGAAGCAGACUCCCUGCCGAGCAGGGAGCCCGAUGCGGGACCCGAUCCCGGGACUCCAGGAUCAUGACCUGAGCCGAAGGCAGUCGCUUAACCAACUGAGCCACCCAGGCGCCCCUUAAGUGACUUUUUGUAGAAGUCUAUUUCAGCUGGGGCAAAAACUACGGGAUUUUUUCAUUAGGGUGUCACCUAAGUCCCUGGGCUGGGAAGGCAACUCUUUGGCUUGGUAUGUCCCUAAUCCUACCUCCCUUCUUUGAUGCAUUUAUGCUGUGGAUCUCCUAAGGUCCUCUCAUCCUUUGGGGUUACAUUAUUUUUCUGGCUUUUCCUUGGGGCCUGAAGCUUAUGGACACAGGGCUUCUGCUGACCCAGCUACUCCAGAGCUGGAGAUGCUUUGGCCUUAACUAUUUCCCUCCAUGAAAGAAUUCCAAUUCAUUUCCAUCAUCAUACUCCUAAAGUGGAAACUCAACUUAGAGAAGAUACAUACCAUCCUUCUUUGGAGCUUCUGGACAGUAGAGCUGAGGAAAGAGUGUCUACCUGAAUCCACAUAUCUGGUUAUAGGAUCUCCCCAGAGAAGGAACCUGAUAGAAACAAACAAACAAACAAACAAACAAACAAAAACCUGCGCUGGAAGUUACAGAAUGAGAAGGAUCUAAUUCACCUUGACACAGAGCAGCUGCUUGAUAUCCAACCCAGGGAGAUUCAAGAUGAGACAGCGGAGAAGGACUCGGUGAGAAGGACCUUACCAGGUACUGUGAACAGCUAAACACAACAGUAAACUCGUGCCUCCCAAGUCAAAAGACAUAAGCCACAUGGACCUACUGGGAGGCUGUCCUGAGACCUCAAACAGCACCAUCUGAGGAAACAAAACAGAUGAGGGCAGGAAGGUGCCCCUUCCACCCAAGACCAUUGGGACCAUGCUGGUAACCACAGGAAGUGUCACCUUCCCUCAAGACCCACCAGACAAGACCACCAGAGCUACCAUGGUGGUGCUUUAAUCUGCAUGUGCUUUUGCUCUUUUUUCCCCCUUCCUGUAAAGUUAAGGUUUAAACUGUUGACACUCUUUACCUAUUAACCAUGAUAUCUCCAAGGUUUUUAUCUUUCAUGCUGUUGUGUGUUUGUGUGUGGGUAUUUUGCCGUAGUCAUUCCUCAGUAUGAGUCCAGUGCCAGGCUGCAGUUUGCUUACCAUUUGGCUACAACAUGCAAUUACACU
Molecule: long non-coding RNA, 1208 nt
Organism: Zalophus californianus (California sea lion)
Lineage: Eukaryota; Metazoa; Chordata; Mammalia; Carnivora; Otariidae
Exons: 4
Source: RefSeq, a predicted model, not a curated record